UGAAAAACUUGGGUAGUGAGACG
Molecule: microRNA, 23 nt
Filed under: Pristionchus pacificus
Lineage: Eukaryota; Metazoa; Nematoda; Chromadorea; Rhabditida; Neodiplogasteridae
Description: ppc-miR-71b-5p
Gene: ppc-miR-71b-5p
Source: miRBase by way of RNAcentral